GCCGGCAUAGCUCAGUUGGUAGAGCGUUUGUUUUGUAAACAAGGGGUCGGGGGUUCGAGUCCCUCUGCCGGCACCA
Molecule: transfer RNA, 76 nt
Filed under: Paracoccus sp. (in: a-proteobacteria)
Lineage: Bacteria; Pseudomonadati; Pseudomonadota; Alphaproteobacteria; Rhodobacterales; Paracoccaceae
Description: tRNA-Thr
Rfam family: tRNA
About the family: Transfer RNA (tRNA) molecules are approximately 80 nucleotides in length. Their secondary structure includes four short double-helical elements and three loops (D, anti-codon, and T loops).
Source: RNAcentral